Molecule: ribosomal RNA, 490 nt
Filed under: uncultured bacterium
Lineage: Bacteria
Description: partial 16S ribosomal RNA
Rfam family: Bacterial small subunit ribosomal RNA
Source: RNAcentral
AUUGAACGCUGGCGGCAUGCUUUACACAUGCAAGUCGGACGGCAGCACAGAGAAGCCUGCUUCUUGGGUGGCGAGUGGCGAACGGGUGAGUAACAUAUCGGAACGUACCGAGCAGUGGGGGAUAACUAAUCGAAAGAUUAGCUAAUACCGCAUAUUUUCUGAGGAAGAAAGCAGGGGACUUUUGGGCCUUGCGCUGUUUGAGUGGCCGAUAUCUGAUUAGCUAGUUGGUGGGGUAAAGGCCUACCAAGGCGACGAUCAGUAGCGGGUCUGAGAGGAUGAUCCGCCACACUGGGACUGAGACACGGCCCAGACUCCUACGGGAGGCAGCAGUGGGGAAUUUUGGACAAUGGGCGCAAGCCUGAUCCAGCCAUGCCGCGUGUCUGAAGAAGGCCUUCGGGUUGUAAAGGACUUUUGUCAGGGAAGAAAAGGGCGGGGUUAAUACCCCUGUCUGAUGACGGUACCUGAAGAAUAAGCACCGGCUAACUACGUG